RNAcentral lists this ribosomal RNA (510 nucleotides) under uncultured bacterium. Its description in RNAcentral is "partial 16S ribosomal RNA". It matches the Rfam family "Bacterial small subunit ribosomal RNA", at positions 28 to 507 of the family's 1533-position model. The record is from RNAcentral.
GACGAACGCUGGCGGCGUGCUUAACGCAUGCAAGUCGAACGAAGAGCGAUGGAAGCUUGCUUCUAUCAAUCUUAGUGGCGAACGGGUGAGUAACGCGUAAUCAACCUGCCCUUCAGAGGGGGACAACAGUUGGAAACGACUGCUAAUACCGCAUACGAUCUGACCUCGGCAUCGAGGAUAGAUGAAAGGUGGCCUCUACAUGUAAGCUAUCACUGAAGGAGGGGAUUGCGUCUGAUUAGCUAGUUGGAGGGGUAACGGCCCACCAAGGCGAUGAUCAGUAGCCGGUCUGAGAGGAUGAACGGCCACAUUGGGACUGAGACACGGCCCAGACUCCUACGGGAGGCAGCAGUGGGGAAUCUUCCGCAAUGGACGAAAGUCUGACGGGGCAACGCCGCGUGAGUGAUGACGGCCUUCGGGUUGUAAAGCUCUGUUAAUCGGGACGAAAGGCCUUUUUGCGAAUAGUGAGAAGGAUUGACGGUACCGGAAUAGAAAGCCACGGCUAACUACGUG